GACGAACGCUGGCGGCGUGCUUAACACAUGCAAGUCGAACGGAAAGGCCCUGCUUUUGUGGGGUGCUCGAGUGGCGAACGGGUGAGUAACACGUGAGUAACCUGCCCUUGACUUUGGGAUAACUUCAGGAAACUGGGGCUAAUACCGGAUAGGAGCUCCUGCUGCAUGGUGGGGGUUGGAAAGUUUCGGCGGUUGGGGAUGGACUCGCGGCUUAUCAGCUUGUUGGUGGGGUAGUGGCUUACCAAGGCUUGGACGGGUAGCCGGCCUGGGAGGGUGACCGGCCACAUUGGGACUGCGAUACGGCCCAGACUCCUACGGGAGGCAGCAGUGGGGAAUAUUGCACAAUGGGCUGAAGCCUGAUGCAGCAACGCCGCGUGCGGGAUGACGGCCUUCGGGUUGUAAACCGCUUUCGCCUGUGACGAAGCGUGAGUGACGGUAAUGGGUAAAGAAGCACCGGCUAACUACGUG
RNAcentral lists this ribosomal RNA (468 nucleotides) under uncultured bacterium. RNAcentral's name for it is "partial 16S ribosomal RNA". It matches the Rfam family "Bacterial small subunit ribosomal RNA", at positions 28 to 507 of the family's 1533-position model. The record is from RNAcentral.